CGUAGACAGAUGGCCACAAGUGGACGCGCCGCCCCCCGCCCUAGCCUUGGCCGCCUUCGUUCCUCAGUUCGCGCUUUCGCGCGCAUGCACCUUCCUCUUCCUGCGUGCGUGCCUAUAUUAGGCGGAUGAGCUCACCGCGCCGUGAUCUGACCCAAUUGACGAUGCGCCAGAUGCAGCCGACUGACCACCAGCACCCGAGCAGCAGCGAGAGAGCGCCGCCGCUCGCGGCCGCCGUCGGCAAAGAUGAUGGCGCGUCGUCGUCGUCGUCGUCGGUGGUGGUCAAGAUCGACGACCUCCGCUGCCACGGAGACUGGGGGGCGGCCGCUGGGUCCGCCGCCGUGGACGUGUGCCUCGCCGCGGCCGCCGUGGCCGGCGCCGCGCUGCUGGCGUGGUGGGCCGUCGCGUUCCACCCGUCGUACGCGCAGCUGUGGAUGGUGCCGCUCGGACUCGUGCUCGCCGGCACCCCGCCCGUCGUCUGCCUCGCGCUCCGCUUCAGCCCCGACGCCCGCGCGCCGCCGCCGCCGGGAAAAGACGGACCCGCGGGUGCGCGUGCGCCGCCGCCGCCGCCGCCGUUGGUCGCCGUUGUCAUCGACAAGCAGUAGCGCGUUCGUACGUGUGUGCAUGGUGCGUACAUAUCAAAGACACAUCUCUGCUGCCGUGUGUAUAUUCUUUGAUUAGUUUCAUUUGGGCCGGGAGGCGAGGGCAUAAUAUGCUGUGAUAUGUACAGAGGUAGACGACGAUGGAGUCAUGGAGAUCAUCCUGAGAUGUACGUGCUUUGAUUUGGGGUACGAAAAAAAAGGCAUCGAAUAAAGAAUGUAAUAAACAGCAACAAACAAUUCUGUGAUUGUUGA
Molecule: RNA transcript, 851 nt
Organism: Zea mays
Lineage: Eukaryota; Viridiplantae; Streptophyta; Magnoliopsida; Poales; Poaceae
Gene name: ATP-synthase-associated superfamily protein pseudogene
Exons: 1
Source: RefSeq, marked validated